Molecule: small nuclear RNA, 176 nt
Organism: Parambassis ranga (Indian glassy fish)
Lineage: Eukaryota; Metazoa; Chordata; Actinopteri; Ambassidae
Gene: U2
Rfam family: U2 spliceosomal RNA
About the family: U2 is a small nuclear RNA (snRNA) component of the spliceosome (involved in pre-mRNA splicing). Complementary binding between U2 snRNA (in an area lying towards the 5' end but 3' to hairpin I) and the branchpoint sequence (BPS) of the intron results the bulging out of an unpaired adenosine, on the BPS, which initiates a nucleophilic attack at the intronic 5' splice site, thus starting the first of two transesterification reactions that mediate splicing.
Source: Ensembl
CUCGCUUCUCGGCCUUUUGGCUAAGAGUAGUAUCUGUUCUUAUCAGUUUAAUAUCUGAUUCGUCCCCUACCCGGGGACCUUUUUUUUUAAUAUGGGCAGCAGUGGCUCAGUGGUGUAGCAUAGUUGUUCAAUAACCGGAAGGUUGGUGGUUCAAUCCCAACUUCUCCCUAGUCACU